Molecule: ribosomal RNA, 625 nt
Filed under: uncultured fungus
Lineage: Eukaryota; Fungi
Description: LSU rRNA
Rfam family: Eukaryotic large subunit ribosomal RNA
Source: RNAcentral
ACCCGCUGAACUUAAGCAUAUCAAUAAGCGGAGGAAAAGAAACCAACAGGGAUUGCCCCAGUAACGGCGAGUGAAGCGGCAAUAGCUCAAAUUUGAAAUCUGGCCCUUUCAGGGUCCGAGUUGUAAUUUGCAGAGGGCGCUUUGGUGUCGGCAGCAGCCUAAGUUCCUUGGAACAGGUCAUCAUAGAGGGUGAGAAUCCCGUAUGUGGCUGCUUGUCUUCACCGUGUAAAGCCCCUUCGAUGAGUCGAGUUGUUUGGGAAUGCAGCUCUAAAUGGGAGGUAAAUUUCUUCUAAAGCUAAAUAUUGGCCAGAGACCGAUAGCGCACAAGUAGAGUGAUCGAAAGAUGAAAAGCACUUUGGAAAGAGAGUCAAAAAGCACGUGAAAUUGUUGAAAGGGGAGCGCUUGCAGCCAGACGUGCCCGUAGUUGCUCAUCUGGGGUUCUCCCCAGUGCACUCUUCUAUGGGCAGGCCAGCAUCAGUUCGGGCGGUUGGAGAAAGACCUGUGUCAUGUAGCUCUCUUCGGGGAGUGUUAUAGGGCAGGUGGAAUGCAACCAGCCUGAACUGAGGUCCGCGCAUCUGCUAGGAUGCUGGCGUAAUGGCUGUAAGCGGCCCGUCUUGAAACACGG